AGAGUUUGAUCAUGGCUCAGGAUAAACGCUGGCGGCGCACAUAAGACAUGCAAGUCGAACGAACUUAACCAUAAGUUUACUUUUGGAGCGGUUAGUGGCGGACUGGUGAGUAACACGUAAGCAACCUGCCUAUCAGAGGGGAACAACAGUUAGAAAUGACUGCUAAUACCGCAUAUGCCAUGAAUAUCACAUGAUAUAAAUGGGAAAGGAGCAAUCCGCUGAUAGAUGGGCUUGCG
RNAcentral lists this ribosomal RNA (236 nucleotides) under uncultured bacterium. Its description in RNAcentral is "partial 16S ribosomal RNA". It matches the Rfam family "Bacterial small subunit ribosomal RNA", at positions 8 to 235 of the family's 1533-position model. The record is from RNAcentral.